GGCUGGUCCAAAGGUAAUGAGUUAUCUCAAUCGAUUGUUACAGACAGUUACAGAUUGAACUUUUUGUUCUACUUUUCCCCCCUUCUCACUACUGCACUUGUCUUAAA
Molecule: Y RNA, 107 nt
Organism: Macaca fascicularis (crab-eating macaque)
Lineage: Eukaryota; Metazoa; Chordata; Mammalia; Primates; Cercopithecidae
Rfam family: Y RNA
About the family: Y RNAs are components of the Ro ribonucleoprotein particle (Ro RNP), in association with Ro60 and La proteins. The Y RNAs and Ro60 and La proteins are well conserved, but the function of the Ro RNP is not known.
Source: Ensembl